GAGUUCAAAUAGGUAGUAGCGGAGAGA
Molecule: small RNA, 27 nt
Filed under: Bombyx mori (domestic silkworm)
Lineage: Eukaryota; Metazoa; Arthropoda; Insecta; Lepidoptera; Bombycidae
Description: ovarian small RNA-16036
Source: RNAcentral